AACUCAAAGGAAUUGACGGGGGCCCGCACAAGCGUUGGAGCAUGUGUUAAUUCGAAGCACGCGCAGAACCUACCAGGUUUGACAUGGGAUCGCCGCGGCGAGAGAUCGCCGUUUUGCAGCAUGCAACGAUCCGCACAGGUGCUGCAUGGCUGUCGUCAGCCCGUGUCGUGAGAUGUUGGGUUAAGUCCCGCAACGAGCGCAACCCUUGCCAACAGUUACUACGCAAGAGGACUCUGUUGGGACCGCCGUUGACAAAACGGAGGAAGGUGGGGAUGACGUCAAAUCAUCAUGCCCUUUAUGACCAGGGCUACACACGUACUACAAUGGCCGUUAACAGAGGGGGCCGAACACGCGAGUGGGAGGAAAUCCGAUAAAAGCGGUCUCAGUUCAGAUUGCAGGCUGCAACCCGCCUGCAUGAAGUCGGAAUUGCUAGUAAUCGCGGAUCAGCAUGCCGCGGUGAAUACGUUCCCGGGCCUUGUACACACCGCCCGUCACACCAUGAGAGUCGGGGGCACCCGAAGUCGGUAGUCUAACCGCAAGGAGGACGCUGCCUAAGGUGAAACCGGUAAUUGGGGUG
This 577-nucleotide ribosomal RNA is filed under the name uncultured rumen bacterium. RNAcentral's name for it is "bacterial SSU rRNA". It matches the Rfam family "Bacterial small subunit ribosomal RNA", at positions 898 to 1482 of the family's 1533-position model. The record is from RNAcentral.